RNAcentral lists this ribosomal RNA (1553 nucleotides) under Escherichia coli. RNAcentral describes it as "bacterial SSU rRNA". It matches the Rfam family "Bacterial small subunit ribosomal RNA". Lineage: Bacteria; Pseudomonadati; Pseudomonadota; Gammaproteobacteria; Enterobacterales; Enterobacteriaceae. The record is from RNAcentral. RNAcentral also lists the same sequence under 1 other name.
AAAUUGAAGAGUUUGAUCAUGGCUCAGAUUGAACGCUGGCGGCAGGCCUAACACAUGCAAGUCGAACGGUAACAGGAAGCAGCUUGCUGCUUUGCUGACGAGUGGCGGACGGGUGAGUAAUGUCUGGGAAACUGCCUGAUGGAGGGGGAUAACUACUGGAAACGGUAGCUAAUACCGCAUAACGUCGCAAGACCAAAGAGGGGGACCUUCGGGCCUCUUGCCAUCGGAUGUGCCCAGAUGGGAUUAGCUAGUAGGUGGGGUAACGGCUCACCUAGGCGACGAUCCCUAGCUGGUCUGAGAGGAUGACCAGCCACACUGGAACUGAGACACGGUCCAGACUCCUACGGGAGGCAGCAGUGGGGAAUAUUGCACAAUGGGCGCAAGCCUGAUGCAGCCAUGCCGCGUGUAUGAAGAAGGCCUUCGGGUUGUAAAGUACUUUCAGCGGGGAGGAAGGGAGUAAAGUUAAUACCUUUGCUCAUUGACGUUACCCGCAGAAGAAGCACCGGCUAACUCCGUGCCAGCAGCCGCGGUAAUACGGAGGGUGCAAGCGUUAAUCGGAAUUACUGGGCGUAAAGCGCACGCAGGCGGUUUGUUAAGUCAGAUGUGAAAUCCCCGGGCUCAACCUGGGAACUGCAUCUGAUACUGGCAAGCUUGAGUCUCGUAGAGGGGGUAGAAUUCCAGGUGUAGCGGUGAAAUGCGUAGAGAUCUGGAGGAAUACCGGUGGCGAAGGCGGCCCCCUGGACGAAGACUGACGCUCAGGUGCGAAAGCGUGGGGAGCAAACAGGAUUAGAUACCCUGGUAGUCCACGCCGUAAACGAUGUCGACUUGGAGGUUGUGCCCUUGAGGCGUGGCUUCCGGAGCUAACGCGUUAAGUCGACCGCCUGGGGAGUACGGCCGCAAGGUUAAAACUCAAAUGAAUUGACGGGGGCCCGCACAAGCGGUGGAGCAUGUGGUUUAAUUCGAUGCAACGCGAAGAACCUUACCUGGUCUUGACAUCCACGGAAGUUUUCAGAGAUGAGAAUGUGCCUUCGGGAACCGUGAGACAGGUGCUGCAUGGCUGUCGUCAGCUCGUGUUGUGAAAUGUUGGGUUAAGUCCCGCAACGAGCGCAACCCUUAUCCUUUGUUGCCAGCGGUCCGGCCGGGAACUCAAAGGAGACUGCCAGUGAUAAACUGGAGGAAGGUGGGGAUGACGUCAAGUCAUCAUGGCCCUUACGACCAGGGCUACACACGUGCUACAAUGGCGCAUACAAAGAGAAGCGACCUCGCGAGAGCAAGCGGACCUCAUAAAGUGCGUCGUAGUCCGGAUUGGAGUCUGCAACUCGACUCCAUGAAGUCGGAAUCGCUAGUAAUCGUGGAUCAGAAUGCCACGGUGAAUACGUUCCCGGGCCUUGUACACACCGCCCGUCACACCAUGGGAGUGGGUUGCAAAAGAAGUAGGUAGCUUAACCUUCGGGAGGGCGCUUACCACUUUGUGAUUCAUGACUGGGGUGAAGUCGUAACAAGGUAACCGUAGGGGAACCUGCGGUUGGAUCACCUCCUUACCUUAAAGAAGC